RNAcentral lists this non-coding RNA (148 nucleotides) under Nomascus leucogenys (northern white-cheeked gibbon). Lineage: Eukaryota; Metazoa; Chordata; Mammalia; Primates; Hylobatidae. The record is from Rfam by way of RNAcentral.
GCUGGGUGUGGUGGUGUGUGCCUGUAAUCCCAGCUACUCAGGAGGCUGAGGCAGAAGAAUUGCUUGAACUCGGGAGGCGGAGGUUGCAGUGAGCUGAGAUCGCACCACUGCAUUCCAGCCUGGGUGACAGAGCGAGACUCUGUCUCAU